UCUAAAUUGGCAGAAACAUAUGCGACGGGCUUAAAACCCGUUUAUAAUUCAUUUAUUUAGCU
RNAcentral lists this transfer RNA (62 nucleotides) under Linguatula arctica. RNAcentral describes it as "tRNA-Leu". Lineage: Eukaryota; Metazoa; Arthropoda; Ichthyostraca; Porocephalida; Linguatulidae. The record is from RNAcentral.